GAAAUGCGAUAAGUAAUGUGAAUUGCAGAAUUCAGUGAAUCAUCGAAUCUUUGAACGCACAUUGCGCCCGCCAGUAUUCUGGCGGGCAUGCCUGUCCGAGCGUCAUUUCAACCAUCAAGCCCCCGGGCUUGUGUUGGGGACCUGCGGCUGCCCGCAGGCCCUGAAAACCAGUGGCGGGCUCGCUGUCACACCGAGCGUAGUAGCAAUCACCUCGCUCAGGGCGUGCUGCGGGUUCCGGCCGUUAAACAGCCUUACAAAACCCAAGGUUGACCUCGGAUCAGGUAGGAAGACCCGCUGAACUGAAGC
RNAcentral lists this unclassified non-coding RNA (306 nucleotides) under plant metagenome. RNAcentral describes it as "partial contains 5.8S ribosomal RNA, internal transcribed spacer 2, and large subunit ribosomal RNA". The stretch from base 1 to 105 matches the Rfam family "5.8S ribosomal RNA", at positions 50 to 154 of the family's 154-position model. The record is from RNAcentral.